GACGAACGCUGGCGGCGUGCUUAACACAUGCAAGUCGAACGGAAAGGCCCUGCUUUUGUGGGGUGCUCGAGUGGCGAACGGGUGAGUAACACGUGAGUAACCUGCCCUUGACUUUGGGAUAACUUCAGGAAACUGGGGCUAAUACCGGAUAGGAGCUCCUGCUGCACGGUGGGGGUUGGAAAGUUUCGGCGGUUGGGGAUGGACUCGCGGCUUAUCAGCUUGUUGGUGGGGUAGUGGCUUACCAAGGCUUUGACGGGUAGCCGGCCUGAGAGGGUGACCGGCCACAUUGGGACUGAGAUACGGCCCAGACUCCUACGGGAGGCAGCAGUGGGGAAUAUUGCACAAUGGGCGGAAGCCUGAUGCAGCAACGCCGCGUGCGGGAUGACGGCCUUCGGGUUGUAAACCGCUUUCGCCUGUGGCGAAGCGUGAGUGACGGUAAUGGGUAAAGAAGCACCGGCUAACUACGUG
This 468-nucleotide ribosomal RNA is filed under the name uncultured bacterium. RNAcentral describes it as "partial 16S ribosomal RNA". It matches the Rfam family "Bacterial small subunit ribosomal RNA", at positions 28 to 507 of the family's 1533-position model. The record is from RNAcentral.